CGGGGUGUAGCGCAGCCUGGUAGCGCACUUGGUUUGGGACCAAGGUGUCGCUGGUUCAAAUCCAGUCACCCCGACCA
This 77-nucleotide transfer RNA is filed under the name Chitinivibrionales bacterium. RNAcentral's name for it is "tRNA-Pro". It matches the Rfam family "tRNA". Rfam says of the family: Transfer RNA (tRNA) molecules are approximately 80 nucleotides in length. Their secondary structure includes four short double-helical elements and three loops (D, anti-codon, and T loops). The record is from RNAcentral. Lineage: Bacteria; Pseudomonadati; Fibrobacterota; Chitinivibrionia; Chitinivibrionales.